GAAACUAACAAGGAUUCCCCUAGUAACUGCGAGUGAACCGGGAAAAGCUCAAAUUUGUAAUCUGGCGGUCCUUGUGGCCGUCCGAGUUGUAAUCUAGAGAAGUGCUAUCCGCGCUGGACCGUGUACAAGUCUUCUGGAAUGAAGCAUCAUAGAGGGUGAGAAUCCCGUCUUUGACACGGACUGCCAGGGCUAUGUGAUGCACUUUCGAUGAGUCGAGUUGUUUGGGAAUGCAGCUCUAAAUGGGUGGUAAAUUCC
Molecule: ribosomal RNA, 255 nt
Filed under: Ampulloclitocybe clavipes
Lineage: Eukaryota; Fungi; Basidiomycota; Agaricomycetes; Agaricales; Hygrophoraceae
Description: partial large subunit ribosomal RNA
Rfam family: Eukaryotic large subunit ribosomal RNA
Source: RNAcentral